GCGCCGGUAGCUCAGCUUGGAUAGAGCGGCAGCCUCCUAAGUUGCAGGUCGGGGGUUCGAAUCCUCCCCGGCGCG
This 75-nucleotide transfer RNA is filed under the name Candidatus Woesearchaeota archaeon. Its description in RNAcentral is "tRNA-Arg". It matches the Rfam family "tRNA". From Rfam's summary of the family: Transfer RNA (tRNA) molecules are approximately 80 nucleotides in length. Their secondary structure includes four short double-helical elements and three loops (D, anti-codon, and T loops). Lineage: Archaea; Nanobdellati; Candidatus Woesearchaeota. The record is from RNAcentral.